AUGAUGAUUUCUCUAUAUCAAUAUUUACACGGUUAGAACCUGAAUACAUGUGAAGAUUUAUCUAGGGCGGACUGAUGCU
Achroia grisella is the source of this 79-nucleotide small nucleolar RNA. RefSeq annotates it as small nucleolar RNA U43. Lineage: Eukaryota; Metazoa; Arthropoda; Insecta; Lepidoptera; Pyralidae. The record is from RefSeq and is a predicted model, not a curated record. The transcript has a single exon.